This 190-nucleotide non-coding RNA is filed under the name Clostridium tetanomorphum. The record is from RNAcentral. Lineage: Bacteria; Bacillati; Bacillota; Clostridia; Eubacteriales; Clostridiaceae.
UGAAUAUUUAUGUUAUUAGGUGCUACUUUAAAUCGGUAGUUAAAAGGGAAAGUGGUGAAAAUCCACUACAGCCCACCGUUACUGUGAUGCUGAUGAAACCUUAAGUUUAUACCACUGAAUAUUAUUUUCGGGAAGGUAAGGGAGUAAAGUGAAGCUAAGUCAGGAAACCUGCCUAAUAAUUGUUGAUUCU